Molecule: ribosomal RNA, 459 nt
Filed under: uncultured bacterium
Lineage: Bacteria
Description: partial 16S ribosomal RNA
Rfam family: Bacterial small subunit ribosomal RNA
Source: RNAcentral
CCUACGGGGGGUAGCAGUGAGGAAUAUUGGUCAAUGGGCGGGAGCCUGAACCAGCCAAGCCGCGUGAGGGAAGAAGGUACAGCGUAUCGUAAACCUCUUUUGUCAGGGAACAAAGGCGGGGACUAGUCCCCGGAUGAGGGUACCUGAAGAAAAAGCAUCGGCUAACUCCGUGCCAGCAGCCGCGGUAAUACGGGGGAUGCGAGCGUUAUCCGGAUUUAUUGGGUUUAAAGGGUGCGCAGGGGGCCUGUUAAGUCAGCGGGAAAAGCCCGGGGCGCAACCCCGGCGAGCCGUUGAAACUGGCGGGCUGGAGUUGGAGAGAGGUAAGCGGAAUGCACGGUGUAGCGGUGAAAUGCUUAGAUAUCGCGCAGAACCCCGAUUGCGAAGGCAGCGUACCGGCUCCAAACUGACGCUGAGGCACGAAAGCGUGGGUAUCGAACAGGAUUAGAUACCCCUGUAGUC